This 497-nucleotide ribosomal RNA is filed under the name uncultured bacterium. RNAcentral's name for it is "partial 16S ribosomal RNA". It matches the Rfam family "Bacterial small subunit ribosomal RNA", at positions 28 to 507 of the family's 1533-position model. The record is from RNAcentral.
GACGAACGCUGGCGGCGUGCCUAAUACAUGCAAGUUGAGCGCUGAAGGUUGGUACUUGUACCAACUGGAUGAGCAGCGAACGGGUGAGUAACGCGUGGGGAAUCUGCCUUUGAGCGGGGGACAACAUUUGGAAACGAAUGCUAAUACCGCAUAAAAACUUUAAACACAAGUUUUAAGUUUGAAAGAUGCAAUUGCAUCACUCAAAGAUGAUCCCGCGUUGUAUUAGCUAGUUGGUGAGGUAAAGGCUCACCAAGGCGAUGAUACAUAGCCGACCUGAGAGGGUGAUCGGCCACAUUGGGACUGAGACACGGCCCAAACUCCUACGGGAGGCAGCCGUAGGGAAUCUUCGGCAAUGGACGAAAGUCUGACCGAGCAACGCCGCGUGAGUGAAGAAGGUUUUCGGAUCGUAAAACUCUGUUGGUAGAGAAGAACGUUGGUGAGAGUGGAAAGCUCAUCAAGUGACGGUAACUACCCAGAAAGGGACGGCUAACUACGUG